Molecule: ribosomal RNA, 433 nt
Filed under: uncultured bacterium
Lineage: Bacteria
Description: partial 16S ribosomal RNA
Rfam family: Bacterial small subunit ribosomal RNA
Source: RNAcentral
GAACGAACGCUGGCGGCAUGCCUACCCCAUGCAAGUCGAACGAGACCUUCGGGUCUAGUGGCGCACGGGUGCGUAACGCGUGGGAACCUGCCCUUAGGUUCGGAAUAACUCCCCGAAAGGGGUGCUAAUACCGGAUAAUGUCUUCGGACCAAAGAUUUAUCGCCUUUGGAUGGGCCCGCGUUGGAUUAGCUAGUUGGUAGGGUAAAAGCCUACCAAGGCGACGAUCCAUAGCUGGUCUGAGAGGAUGAUCAGCCACACUGGGACUGAGACACGGCCCAGACUCCUACGGGAGGCAGCAGUGGGGAAUAUUGGACAAUGGGCGAAAGCCUGAUCCAGCAAUGCCGCGUGAGUGAUGAAGGCCUUAGGGUUGUAAAGCUCUUUUACCCGGGAUGAUAAUGACAGUACCGGGAGAAUAAGCUCCGGCGAACUCCGU